GUCCUCCGCCGCCCGCCGCCCGUCCCUUCGGAAGCGCCGAUUCCUCGGGGAGGAGGAGGCGUGAGGGGAGGCGGCGGAGGCAGCCGGCACGGGGCGCUCGGGCCGCGGGGCAGGGGGCGCGGGGUGCCUCCUCGGCCUCGGCUCUCCCCGCCCCGGGGCGCCCCGAGACCGCCGCCUGCCUCCGCGGGCAGCUUUGUUCUUCUUUCCUCCAACUACCUGUCUGAGCCGCGGGCCCCAGAGGCCCCAAAGAGAGGCCCGGAGGGUCUCCCCAGCAGCAUCCGAGGGGCGCUCUCGGGGAGCUAGGGGCCAGAGUCCGCGGUCCCUCCGUGCCUGCCUCCCUCCCCUCGUGCCUCGGUCUUUUGUUGCCUCUACUCCUCGGCACGGCGCAGCCUGGGCUCUCUUCCCCCUCCCGCUUGGGAGUUUGCAGUGUGGACGCUCGGCAAGCACAAGUGCCAAGCAAGGAGAAUACAGCAGCUCACACUUAAGACUCAAACUCCCCAAUGGCUUGCAGGUAAGGGUUUUUAACAGAAGGGAUAAAUUUCAGGAAAACAAAUUAUAGGCAAAAUCAUAAAUCAAUAUAUGGAAGUUAUACAUUGGUUUGGCCUAAAAAGGCAGAAUAUCUUGAAGUGGGGUCUUACAGGUCAUAGACAGAUUCAAAGAUUUUCUGAUUUGCAAUUGGUUAAAGAAGGGAAUCUUUGUCUAAAGACUUGGAAUCAGCAGAAAAGAAUAUGAGAUCUGACUCGUGGUUGUUGCUUCCUCCACGCCCCUCAGAAAGAAACUUCGAACAACGCAUGGCAGUCAGAGUUCAGUCUACAGCCCCCCGUCAUCUGAGGUCUCCGUGCCAGUGGGUCCAUUUGGUGGGGGUCUGAGUUUCUGAAAACUCAGGGACAUAUAUUAUAACAUUAUCUUCACUUUCUCGAGGGAACCAAUGUCUCCUGAUUCUAGCUUCCUUGGCUAUUGUUUUAAGCUACUGUUACCUUCUCACUUACCAAGUUGCUCAUUUACUUCUUAGGAAUAGCUAGGUGCCUGGAAUUUCCCUUGAAGGAACUCAAGAUUUUCCUUUGAAAGCAGGGGUCCCUGCUUCAUCUCAGUUUCAUAAUAAAAGAAUCGAAGAUAACAAAUAUACACCAUGGAUACAACCUCAGUACCAAGCUUAGCAUGAAGUGGGAAUUCAAAAAUAAUAAUUAACAGUGUCAUCUAUUAAGACAAAACAUUUUGAGACAAUUAUGGAUUCACCCAUAAUUCCAGUAUGUCCUUUUUUUUUAAAGAAGUCUUUUAUAGUCGUGUUCUAUGGAGUUCUUUUCACAGCUUAAUUUUCUUCAAAUCAUUAUUAUUUCUCCUUCUUGUUUUCUUCAGUUUCAGUGCCAGUUAAAAGAAGUUGUACUCUAGCUAGUUUGAUUUUUUAAGUAGAUGCAGAGCUAAAUUUUUGCCUCAGGAUACAUUUUCCAAAUUCUCCUCCACCUCCUCAGUUUCCACCUCCUGUUAAAAGCACCUCCAUCAACCCUCACUUAGACAUUGCCUACUUGGGGGUUUUUGUCUUACCUUUGCAUUGAUCGCAUGAUUCCUGAGGACAAGGAUUCUGAGCUCUCUCAGAGGGCAAAGUACAUUGAGUUUGUUGCUUGUCUUAGGCAACAUUUUAAAGUAGGAGAAUAUAGAGCUCUCCUCUGAUGUCUGCAGCCUUCCCGGUUUUACCCCAUAAUUCUAAAACAAGAAUAGUAAAAAUCCCACCUCUCAUCCACUUGGGUCUGACUCUAUAGGACUUCUUAGGUGUUAUCCAGGUAAUUUGAUCAAUUAAUUAUAUUAAGAGGAAUCUUCUGGAAGCUGCUCCUAGAAGACUUGCCAAGCUCUCCCACAGACAAUGGCCUCCACCUUCUCCUUUUGUUAUCUAACCCCCAAGCGACUCAAGGGAUCUGAAUUUCAGAGUGAGUAGUGGUGGGGUCAGGCUGGUGGGGAACCUAUUUGAAAUGUUUGCACCGGCUUCCUGCCCAAUGGGUCGAAAGAGCUAUUUGAAUUUUGUGGCAAAAAAAAUUCUGUAUGCCUAAAAGAUGCCAGAUGGAGAAGGAAGUGGUGUGUUUAGCCACAGGAGAGAUACUGCAUGGAUAAUAGGUUCUCUACCCGCUUUUUGUCAACGUCAACAUCAGCUUGUCAGUCUGUUAGGUCGAUCAUAUGUAAGAAUAAUUCUCAGCAUUCAUCAACUGCUGAGACCUUCCCAAACCUAAUUUUAUUCUCAAGACAAACCUGUCAAUGAGGUUUUAUUGAUUGUUUCCAUCAUACACAUGGAGAAAUGGAGGCAGAGGUUUAGAGAGAAAAACAUGAGUCAGAGUGGGAAGGGAAUUAACCCAGGGGACAGUCUCUAUAGUUCUUCCCUCUGAGUUUGCUACAAAAAUAUUAUUUAUAAAUCAUUUGAAAUGGUGAUAACACUGAGCCCGCCAAUUCAAUCAAGAAACAGCCUCUAUGUUGUAGCUCCAUUUAUUUUUCACUGGCCAGAGGUAGUGCUGAGGUAACAAUUGUAAAGGUGAGAAGUCACAACUUCUAUUACGGAUAUCUAGGGAUACCUACUGAGGACGACUUGCCUGAGAGCUUAUGCUCCCAGCAUUGGUGAGAAGUGCUUUCUCCUUGCUGGCUUUGAGCCACUUCCCAGAGGAGUUCCUGCUCCUCUGUUUAGAAAUUGCAGAGUGGGUGUGGGCGUGCCAUGUUUCUUAAGUUGCCUAAGACCCAAAAGGUUAUUUUUAAAAAUGUAAAUAUACACCCAAACUCAUUGAAAUAAUGGUAAUGGGAAGAUUGAGCUGAAGACCGUGAUUGAGAAAUGCACGUUACCAUGGUAAUAACAGGGUGGGCAAGGCUAACUCUGGCCCUUCCACAUUUAUUUUAAACCAGUAGUUCUCAAAUAGUAGCGUGCAUCGGAAUACCCUAGAGGGCUUGUUAAGAAACAAGUUACCAGCCCCACCCCCAGACUUUCUAAUUUAGUAGAUCUGGAGUGGGCCUUAUAAUUUGCAUUUCUAACCAGUUCCCAGGUCUAGCCCUAGGGCCAAAUCCAUGUUUUCACCUGUUUUUGUAAGGUCUGCAAAUUAGUAAUAGUUUUUACAGAUGAACCUUUGCAAAUGAUUCCAUGAUAGGCAACACUAAUUUUGAACCCCAAUUAAGCAAAAUUCUGUCCCCCCUCACAAUUACAUUCUUUUCAUUAGUAGACCUGCAUUACACAAAAAUUGUACCCAAUAUUACAGUUUGAAUUUCAUCAAUGAAAACUUAGUGGAAUUUUGUUUUUCUCCCUUGUUAUAUAAUAACUACCCAGAUAAGAUGCUCAAUUUUGUUUCUUGGCCCACAAAGCCUAAAGUAUUUAUUCUCUAGACUGUUAAAGAAAAAAUUGCAGACCCCUGGCUUAACUGAUGCUGCUGAUGUGGGGAUGACUUUGAGAACCACGUAAGCCAUUUGCUAAGCUAAGUGUAGUAAACCCUCCUUCCACUGAUUUAAUACAAUUCCACGGGCCCAACUGUCCUGGACUAUCACACAAUGCCGAGAGAGAGGCACCACCCCUCAACCUACAAUGUUCCCCUCCAGGGAGCGAAGCUGCGGAGUCUAAAAACGUGAGGCAGUGGCUCAGCGUAGAGAAAGGAUAUUCCAAAACAUCUAAUGGGCACAACUGUAAGGGAAGUAACAUUUGUUUUGGGUGUUGUCCCACCUCUCAUUCUAAGCUGUUCCCAUCCCAGAUGCUGGGGACUCUGGGGAUUCUCUGACUCUGCAAUGUCCCCAACUCCUGCUCUCCAGUCAGACCUGCACCAUUGCAUCUGCAGCUAGCUCUGCAGUCAUGCCCCAAGUAAAUGCUGGUUAAGUAAUCUGAUUAUAAUCUUAGAAUUUAUAAGUCUGUGAUUUAUAUCAAAUAUUCAUGGUGUAUAUGACAGCUUCCUUUGUCAUAUGAUAUAGAAAUAUCUGUUACAUUAUAUAGAAAUUAGUGCACUGAAAAAAGUUUACUUUUUAAAAAAUCUUGACUAUUUUUGUCCCCACUCUUUAAUUCUGCUGUCAUUAGGAGAUUCUCAUAUUUAAAAGUGCUCAAAGCAAGGUAUUCUGUUGUAG
Molecule: long non-coding RNA, 4071 nt
Filed under: Homo sapiens (human)
Lineage: Eukaryota; Metazoa; Chordata; Mammalia; Primates; Hominidae
Description: non-protein coding lnc-ARHGAP28-10:9
Source: RNAcentral